UAGUGGCGAACGGGUGAGUAACGCGUAGGCAACCUGCCCUCCGGCCGGGGACAACACUCCGAAAGGGGUGCUAAUACCGGAUACGAAGUCUGUGCCGCAUGGUACGGAUUUGAAAGAUGGCCUCUGUUUACAAGCUAGUCGCCGGGGGAUGGGCCUGCGUCCGAUUAGCUGGUUGGUGGGGUAACGGCCUACCAAGGCGACGAUCGGUAGCCGGUCUGAGAGGAUGAACGGCCACAUUGGGACUGAGACACGGCCCAGACUCCUACGGGAGGCAGCAGUGGGGAAUCUUCCGCAAUGGGCGCAAGCCUGACGGAGCAACGCCGCCGUGAGUGAGGAAGUUCUUCGGAACGUAAAGCUCUGUUGUUCCUGACGAACCUCCCCUCUAUGAACAACGGAGGGGACUGGACGGUAGGGAACGAGGAAGCCACGGCUAACUACGUGCCAGCCGCCGC
Molecule: ribosomal RNA, 452 nt
Filed under: uncultured bacterium
Lineage: Bacteria
Description: bacterial SSU rRNA
Rfam family: Bacterial small subunit ribosomal RNA
Source: RNAcentral